CCCGCGUGGGGGAGCCUACCAUGCAGUCGAGCGGAAACAAAAGUACUUGCUACUCUGGCGUCGAGCGGCGGACGGGUGAGUAAUGCUUGGGAACAUGCCUUGAGGUGGGGGACAACAGUUGGAAACGACUGCUAAUACCGCAUAAUGUCUACGGACCAAAGGGGGCUUCGGCUCUCGCCUUUAUAUUGGCCCAAGUGGGAUUAGCUAGUUGGUGAGGUAAUGGCUCACCAAGGCGACGAUCCCUAUCUGGUUUGAGAGGAUGAUCACCCACACUGGGACUGAGACACGGCCCACACUCCUACGGGAGGCAGCAGUGGGGAAUAUUGCACAAUGGGCGCAAGCCUGAUGCACCCAUGCCGCGUGUGUGAAAAAGGCCUUCGGGUUGUAAAGCACUUUCACUCAGGAGGAAAGGUUAGUAGUUAAUACCUGCUAUCUGUGACGUUACUGACAGAAGAAGCACCGGCUAACUCCGUGCCAGCAGCCGCGGUAAUACAGAGGGUGCGAGCGUUAAUCGGAAUUACUGGGCGUAAAGCGUACGCAGGCGGUUUGUUAAGCGAGAUGUGAAAGCCCCGGGCUCAACCUGGGAACUGCAUUUCGAACUGGCAAACUAGAGUGUGAUAGAGGGUGGUAGAAUUUCAUGUGUAGCGGUGAAAUGCGUAGAGAUCUGAAAGAAUACCGAUGGCGAACGCAGCCACCUGGGUCAACACUGACGCUCAUGUACGAAAGCGUGGGGAGCAAACAAGAUUAUAUACCCUGGGUAGUCA
This 764-nucleotide ribosomal RNA is filed under the name Pseudoalteromonas sp. RNAcentral describes it as "bacterial SSU rRNA". It matches the Rfam family "Bacterial small subunit ribosomal RNA", at positions 36 to 796 of the family's 1533-position model. Lineage: Bacteria; Pseudomonadati; Pseudomonadota; Gammaproteobacteria; Alteromonadales; Pseudoalteromonadaceae. The record is from RNAcentral.